RNAcentral lists this transfer RNA (72 nucleotides) under Bacteriophage sp. Its description in RNAcentral is "tRNA-Val". It matches the Rfam family "tRNA". Rfam says of the family: Transfer RNA (tRNA) molecules are approximately 80 nucleotides in length. Their secondary structure includes four short double-helical elements and three loops (D, anti-codon, and T loops). The record is from RNAcentral. RNAcentral also lists the same sequence under 1 other name.
UGGAAUGUAGCUCAGUGGUAGAGCAGUGGUCUUACAAGCUAUGUGCAACAGGUUCGAUUCCUGCCUUUCCGA